CCUACGGGAGGCAGCAGUGGGGAAUAUUGGACAAUGGGCGCAAGCCUGAUCCAGCAAUGCCGCGUGAGUGAUGAAGGCCUUAGGGUCGUAAAGCUCUUUUACCAGGGAUGAUAAUGACAGUACCUGGAGAAUAAGCUCCGGCUAACUCCGUGCCAGCAGCCGCGGUAAUACGGAGGGAGCUAGCGUUGUUCGGAAUUACUGGGCGUAAAGCGUACGUAGGCGGUUAUUCAAGUCAGAGGUGAAAGCCCGGGGCUCAACCCCGGAACGGCCUUUGAAACUAGGUAGCUAGAAUCUUGGAGAGGUCAGUGGAAUUCCGAGUGUAGAGGUGAAAUUCGUAGAUAUUCGGAAGAACACCAGUGGCGAAGGCGACUGACUGGACAAGUAUUGACGCUGAGGUACGAAAGCGUGGGGAGCAAACAGGAUUAGAUACCCUGGUAGUCCACGCCGUAAACGAUGAUAACUAGCUGUCCGAGCUACGUGUCGUCGUGGUGGCGCGACGACGUACGACUAAGUUAAGUUACGUCCGUCCGGUCGGGUACGGGUACGGUCGACGAACGUAAACUUAAAACGUUAAAGUAAAGUUAGUACGGCGUGAGACGUACGACCGACGGACGACGACGAGGGAGGUAGG
This 631-nucleotide ribosomal RNA is filed under the name uncultured bacterium. Its description in RNAcentral is "bacterial SSU rRNA". The stretch from base 1 to 528 matches the Rfam family "Bacterial small subunit ribosomal RNA", at positions 338 to 873 of the family's 1533-position model. The record is from RNAcentral.